GACGAACGCUGGCGGCGUGCCUAACACAUGCAAGUCAGGGAGAAAGAGGUAGCAAUAUCUCGAGUAAACCGGCGAACGGGUGAGUAUAACGUAGGCAACCUUCCUCGUGAACGGGGAUAACUCCGGGAAACCGGAGCUAAUACCCGAUGACAUUUCGGAGGAGCAUUUCUCCGGAAUCAAAGGUCCCAAAAGGACGUCACGAGAUGGGCCUGCGCCCCAUUAGAUAGUUGGCGGGUAAAAGCCCACCAAGUCAACGAUGGGUAGCUGGUCUGAGAGGACGACCAGCCACACUGGAACUGAGACACGGUCCAGACUUCUACGGAAGGCAGCAGUGAGGAAUAUUGCUCAAUGGGCGAAAGCCUGAAGCAGCGACGCCGCGUGAAGGAUGAAAUCCGUUAGGAUGUAAACUUCUUUUAUAGGGGAAGAACGACCCGGUUACCGGGUGUGACUGUACCCUGUGAAUAAGCACCGGCCAACUACGUG
Molecule: ribosomal RNA, 483 nt
Filed under: uncultured bacterium
Lineage: Bacteria
Description: bacterial SSU rRNA
Rfam family: Bacterial small subunit ribosomal RNA
Source: RNAcentral